CGAACGCUGGCGGCGCGCCUAAUACAUGCAAGUCGAGCGAGAAGGUGUAGCAAUACACUUGUAAAGCGGCGAACGGGUGAGGAAUGCAUGGGUAACCUACCCUCGAGUGGGGAAUAACUAGCCGAAAGGUUAGCUAAUACCGCAUACGUUUCCGGGACUUAGGCUCCGGAAAGAAAGCAAUACCGUGGGUAUUGCGCUCAUGGAUGGGCUCAUGUCCUAUCAGCUUGUUGGUGAGGUAACGGCUCACCAAGGCUUCGACGGGUAGCUGGUCUGAGAGGACGAUCAGCCACACUGGCACUGCGACACGGGCCAAACUCCUACGGGAGGCAGCAGUGGGGAAUAUUGGACAAUGGGCGCAAGCCUGAUCCAGCCAUGCCGCGUGAGUGAUGAAGGCCCUAGGGUUGUAAAGCUCUUUUGUGCGGGAAGAUAAUGACGGUACCGCAAGAAUAAGCCCCGGCUAACUUCGUGCCAGCAG
This 475-nucleotide ribosomal RNA is filed under the name uncultured bacterium. Its description in RNAcentral is "bacterial SSU rRNA". It matches the Rfam family "Bacterial small subunit ribosomal RNA", at positions 30 to 514 of the family's 1533-position model. The record is from RNAcentral.